Pogoniulus pusillus (Red-fronted tinkerbird) is the source of this 691-nucleotide long non-coding RNA. RefSeq lists it as uncharacterized. The record is from RefSeq and is a predicted model, not a curated record. The transcript has 3 exons. Lineage: Eukaryota; Metazoa; Chordata; Aves; Piciformes; Lybiidae.
AUUAAUUUUUGCAUGUCUCGACUUUGGGUCUAGAUUGUUCAAUUCUGUUUACAGGAUUCUGUUUGGCUUUUGUUUCUGCGGUCUGCUGUAAACUCCCUACCCCUUCCCCUUGUUUUCUUUCUCCCUUUAGAAAGCCACGAGGCAACCUAUUUGUUGAAACGAUUAAGUUUUCCCCCAAUAAAUCAUCAGAUGAUCUAUUGCCUUCAUAAUCUUUACUUAAAACACAAACCUAUCCACAUGGGUGCACAGCAUUUGGCUAAUUAAUUUCUGAUCAUUUGCAGUGUUAACAGCCAGCUGCCAGGGGCUUGUGUGACUGUUAAUCUGAGGAAGGAGCCGGAGUGAAAUGAUUGGAGAUCUGCUCCUGCUGGUUACCAGAGAAAUUAUUCUUAUGACAAUGUCACUGGGUUAAUUAAUUCAAUUAAUGACUCCCACUGCAAUGUUUUUCUUUGUCUUGUUCAUUUGCCACAGGCUGUUGAACAGGUACUCCUAGGGAUGUAUUCUGCAGCUCUGCCAGAGGGAAGGAGUAAGGCUGCUGAACAGGUACUCCUAGGGAUGUAUUCUGCAGCUCUGCCAGAGGGAAGGAGUAAGAUGCCACGAACUGGAUGUUUACUUUCAUCCUUGAAAAAAGGAACUACCAAGCCCCAUCAGACCUCAGGUGUCUCUGUCUUAUCAUCCUAGCUAUCUAUUGCAG